UCUCCGUUGGUGAACCAGCGGAGGGAUCAUUACCGAGUUUACAACUCCCAAACCCCUGUGAACAUACCUUAACGUUGCUUCGGCGGACAACCCUCGCCUUACCGCGAGGGCCCGCCAGAGGACCCAAACCCAACCUUUAUUUUUAUCUUGACCUACAUCUCUGAGUGGAUUUUAUAAAUCAAAUCAAAACUUUCAACAACGGAUCUCUUGGCUCUGGCAUCGAUGAAGAACGCAGCGAAAUGCGAUAAGUAAUGUGAAUUGCAGAAUUCAGUGAAUCAUCGAAUCUUUGAACGCACAUUGCGCCCGCCAGUAUUCUGGCGGGCAUGCCUGUUCGAGCGUCAUUAACACCCCUCAAGCCCCCGGGCUUGGUGUUGGGGAUCGGGAACAGCGGAUCGGCCCCCCGGGGCCGCGAAGCCCCCGUCCCCCAAAUGCAUCGGCGGUCACGCCGCGGCCUCUUGCGCGUAGUAGCUAACACCUCGCGCCGGAGCCCGUCGUGGUCCACGCCGCUAAACCCCCGACUUUUUACAAGUUGACCUCGAAUCAGGUAGGACUACCCGCUGAACUUAA
Molecule: ribosomal RNA, 567 nt
Rfam family: 5.8S ribosomal RNA (bases 188-341)